This 468-nucleotide ribosomal RNA is filed under the name uncultured bacterium. Its description in RNAcentral is "partial 16S ribosomal RNA". It matches the Rfam family "Bacterial small subunit ribosomal RNA", at positions 28 to 507 of the family's 1533-position model. The record is from RNAcentral.
GACGAACGCUGGCGGCGUGCUUAACACAUGCAAGUCGAACGGAAAGGCCCUGCUUUUGUGGGGUGCUCGAGUGGCGAACGGGUGAGUAACACGUGAGUAACCUGCCCUUGACUUUGGGAUAACUUCAGGAAACUGGGGCUAAUACCGGAUAGGAGCUCCUGCUGCAUGGUGGGGGUUGGAAAGUUUCGGCGGUUGGGGAUGGACUCGCGGCUUAUCAGCUUGUUGAUGGGGCAGUGGCUUACCAAGGCUUUGACGGGUAGCCGGCCUGAGAGGGUGACCGGCCACAUUGGGACUGAGAUACGGCCCAGACUCCUACGGGAGGCAGCAGUGGGGAAUAUUGCACAAUGGGCGGAAGCCUGAUGCAGCAACGCCGCGUGCGGGAUGACGGCCUUCGGGUUGUAAACCGCUUUCGCCUGUGACGAAGCGUGAGUGACGGUAAUGGGUAAAGAAGCACCGGCUAACUACGUG